RNAcentral lists this ribosomal RNA (433 nucleotides) under uncultured bacterium. Its description in RNAcentral is "partial 16S ribosomal RNA". It matches the Rfam family "Bacterial small subunit ribosomal RNA", at positions 29 to 507 of the family's 1533-position model. The record is from RNAcentral.
AACGAACGCUGGCGGCAGGCCUAACACAUGCAAGUCGAGCGAGCAUUUCGGUGCUAGCGGCGGACGGGUGAGUAACGCGUGGGAACGUGCCCUUUUCUGCGGAAUAGUCCUGGGAAACUGGGGGUAAUACCGCAUACGCCCUUUUGGGGAAAGAUUUAUCGGAGAAGGAUCGGCCCGCGUUGGAUUAGGUAGUUGGUGGGGUAAUGGCCCACCAAGCCGACGAUCCAUAGCUGGUUUGAGAGGAUGAUCAGCCACACUGGGACUGAGACACGGCCCAGACUCCUACGGGAGGCAGCAGUGGGGAAUCUUAGACAAUGGGGGCAACCCUGAUCUAGCCAUGCCGCGUGAGGGAUGAAGGCCUUAGGGUUGUAAAGCUCUUUCAGCUGGGAAGAUAAUGACGGUACCAGCAGAAGAAGCCCCGGCUAACUCCGUG